CGUACCUGAGGAAAGUCCGGGCUCCGCAGGGCAGGAUGCCGGUUAACGGCCGGUGAAGGCGACUUCAAGGAAAGUGCAACAGAAAACAACCGCCCGGUCCAGGCCGGGUAAGGGUGAAAAGGCGAGGCAAGAGCUCACCGCCGCCCUGGUAACAGGACGGGCUGUGUAAACCCCAUCCGGAGCAACACCGCAGAAGAGACGCUUAGUUGGCCCGACAGUCUCAAAGGUGGCUAAAGAGGCGCGGCAACGCGUUUUCGCAGAUAGAUGACCGUUUCAUACAGAACCCGGCUUACGUC
This 296-nucleotide RNase P RNA is filed under the name bovine gut metagenome. RNAcentral's name for it is "Bacterial RNase P class A". It matches the Rfam family "Bacterial RNase P class A", at positions 36 to 352 of the family's 367-position model. From Rfam's summary of the family: Ribonuclease P (RNase P) is a ubiquitous endoribonuclease, found in archaea, bacteria and eukarya as well as chloroplasts and mitochondria. Its best characterised activity is the generation of mature 5'-ends of tRNAs by cleaving the 5'-leader elements of precursor-tRNAs. Cellular RNase Ps are ribonucleoproteins. The record is from RNAcentral.